Athalia rosae (coleseed sawfly) is the source of this 1870-nucleotide long non-coding RNA. RefSeq lists it as uncharacterized. Lineage: Eukaryota; Metazoa; Arthropoda; Insecta; Hymenoptera; Athaliidae. The transcript is spliced from 2 exons. The record is from RefSeq and is a predicted model, not a curated record.
GCAGUCGAUGUUUGACGACGAGAUGAGAAGGGUAAAAAUGUCGAGGUUUUUGAGUAAACAAAAUUUUCGCACUGUGAGAACGAAUCGCGAUAACGUUCAGCUGCAGUUGGGUCGAUGUGCACGCAACGACGUCGGUCGACUUUUCAGAGUGUAAUGACGAAAUCGUAAAGUGGAGGAAAUUUACAGUUGUUUUUUUGUGCGAUAGUUGGAAAAUUCUACAAGCACAUUAGAAGAGGAAUUCUGGGCAGAAAAAAGAAAAACUGACGGGAAAUCGUUUCGAAUCUUUCCGCUUUCGAGUGUCGGGUAAUUCGAGAUUCGGGGUACUUUGGCAUCGCGUAUCCAGUUACCCCGUGAUCCGGAACAUUCAAACGAGCACCGGAUGGGCAAAUCGCGAACCCGGUCGAACCCGUAGAGUAUGCGGACGAAUCAUCCCCCAAUGGUCCCUGGCUUUCGUGGUCGCUCCCAACAAUCUCAACCGACUUUUUUUGCUCCUCGAGCUUCCGACCUCCGCGCAAACAGUGUGGACGAAAUUUUACGGUGAAGAUCACGUUUUCUGCACGGGGUAACCGCGGAUGAAUAUUUCUGAGUAACCCUUGGAAACGUCUCGUAACGAAGAAGCGAAAAAUAUUCUUUCUCAACGUCACCGGAAAUUCAAUUUUUACUCCAGUUUAUCGCAGAGUGAGAAUACGGAUUUACCAACACCCUAUAUGUAUUAUAUGAGCAGAUAGCUCUACCUACGUUGUUCGGCUGUCGGGCAUAUUAUUAUCCGUAUGCACACACACAUAUACCCGUUCACGAAAACUCCGAGGUUGCAAACCGCCACCCGUCGAGAUUCGCGGAUUUACCCUGGAGAAAAUAAAACCCGAUACCGAAUGUUCGCGGUGACACGCUAUUAAGAGACGAUGCACAACAAGGGGUAUUACAGAGCAACGGUAUGUCGUUGCAGGGGUGGCGGUACGAAGGCAAUUAUUAGGGUAGGAAAUGAGAUUCACCUACGGGGUAUUUCUAUCCGAAGGGGGAAAUUUAGACCACACUAGGGGUAGGUAGGGGAUUACGUAAUGGGGAACAUACGGAUCAUAAUAUAUCGUAAUGGAUAUAACAUUAGCGUGCGACGAUACUGUAAUACGCGUUUAGUUCAGUUUGCGUGUUGGGGUUACAAAGUCGUUCUCCCCCCCUUGGAAAAGGGGGACCACCCCCCUCAAUCCCCCUCCCCCCCCCCCCCCCCCCCCCCUCGCCGCGCACCGGUACCCCGAAAACCGUGGCACAGGACCCCUCUCCGCGAAGGAGGGUGCAUAAUUUAUCGUCCUCUUCCCUUUUCGUCUCAUCGCCAAAAAUCCUCGCGCUCUCUUUUCUCCUCUCUGUUUCGCCUAUAGUUGUACGUUAUACGUUACGUGCCGUAGAUCCAGCGGUGGAUUCUCGGUGUGGGUGAAAUUGUAUCGAUGCGAACGUACGUAUAUUUUAUACGUGUAUCGUAUGGUCGGCAAACAAAACAUUUACAUUUCUAAAUUCAUAGCGUUAUACGCUAUUUAUUCGGGAGAGAAAGAUCGAGAAUAAGAGGGAGGUAUGUGCACGCCGCGUGGAGUUAAACUAUAGAAGUCGUUAGCACCCGGCGCGACGUUACCAGGCGAAUAAAGCGGAUGAAUAUAAUAGUUGAUUACUUUAGAAAAGGGAGUAGAGCACAAUGAAAUGGUAAGGGGGUGUUAAAUGCUAAUCAUCUCAGGAGUUCAGUUUAGAAAAUAUCAAGCUCCGGACAUUGUUUUGCUUUCAAAUGAAUUAGAAUCGUUAAAUAUCCUAUACCAAUUCAAUCCCGCGAGCGACGAUUGUAUAUAUCGCAAUGUUUUACAGCCCGACUUAAAAUAUAAAAGAAGAA